This 605-nucleotide ribosomal RNA is filed under the name uncultured archaeon. Its description in RNAcentral is "bacterial SSU rRNA". It matches the Rfam family "Archaeal small subunit ribosomal RNA", at positions 324 to 933 of the family's 1478-position model. The record is from RNAcentral.
UACGGGGCGCAGCAGGCGCGAAAACUUUACCAUGCGGGCAACCGUGAUAAGGAAACCCCGAGUGCCAGCACAGGCUGGCUGUCCGCCAGUUUAAAUAACUGGUGAAGAAAGGGCCGGGCAAGACCGGUGCCAGCCGCCGCGGUAAUACCGGCGGCUCGAGUGGUGGCCGCUAUUACUGGGCUUAAAGGGUCCGUAGCUUGAUAACUGGGUCCCUUGAGAAAUCCGCCAGCUUAACUGGCGGGCGUUCAGGAGAUACUGUCUGGCUCGAGGCCGGGAGAGGUGAGAGGUACUUCAGGGGUAGGGGUGAAAUCUUGUAAUCCUUGAAGGACCACCAGUGGCGAAGGCGUCUCACCAGAACGGACCUGACGGCAAGGGACGAAAGCUAGGGGCACGAACCGGAUUAGAUACCCGGGUAGUCCCAGCCGUAAACGAUGCUCGCUAGGUGUCAGGCAUGGCGCGACCGUGUCUGGUGCCGCAGGGAAGCCGUGAAGCGAGCCACCUGGGAAGUACGGCCGCAAGGCUGAAACUUAAAGGAAUUGGCGGGGGAGCACAACAACGGGUGGAGCCUGCGGUUUAAUUGGACUCAACGCCGGACAACUCACCGG